Molecule: ribosomal RNA, 708 nt
Filed under: uncultured Bacillus sp.
Lineage: Bacteria; Bacillati; Bacillota; Bacilli; Caryophanales; Bacillaceae
Description: bacterial SSU rRNA
Rfam family: Bacterial small subunit ribosomal RNA
Source: RNAcentral
GACGAACGCUGGCGGCGUGCCUAAUACAUGCAAGUCGAGCGAAUCGGAGGGAGCUUGCUCCCAAACAUUAGCGGCGGACGGGUGAGUAACACGUGGGCAACCUGCCUGUAAGACUGGGAUAACUUCGGGAAACCGGAGCUAAUACCGGAUAAUCUUUUUCCUCUCAUGAGGGAAAGCUGAAAGACGGUUUCGGCUGUCACUUACAGAUGGGCCCGCGGCGCAUUAGCUAGUUGGUGAGGUAACGGCUCACCAAGGCGACGAUGCGUAGCCGACCUGAGAGGGUGAUCGGCCACACUGGGACUGAGACACGGCCCAGACUCCUACGGGAGGCAGCAGUAGGGAAUCUUCCGCAAUGGACGAAAGUCUGACGGAGCAACGCCGCGUGAGCGAAGAAGGCCUUCGGGUCGUAAAGCUCUGUUGUCAGGGAAGAACAAGUGCCGGAGUAACUGCCGGCACCUUGACGGUACCUGACCAGAAAGCCACGGCUAACUACGUGCCAGCAGCCGCGGUAAUACGUAGGUGGCAAGCGUUGUCCGGAAUUAUUGGGCGUAAAGCGCGCGCAGGCGGUCCUUUAAGUCUGAUGUGAAAGCCCACGGCUCAACCGUGGAGGGUCAUUGGAAACUGGGGGACUUGAGUGCAGAAGAGGAGAGUGGAAUUCCACGUGUAGCGGUGAAAUGCGUAGAGAUGUGGAGGAACACCAGUGGCGAA